GGAGUGGNNUGUACCAGAAGUAGAUAGCUUAACCUUCGGGAGGGCGUUUACCACGGUAUGAUUCAUGACUGGGGUGAAGUCGUAACAAGGUAACCGUAGGGGAACCUGCGGUUGGAUCACCUCCUUACNAGAAUAGGCGANAGCAAGUGUNCACACAGAUNG
This 162-nucleotide unclassified non-coding RNA is filed under the name Rodentibacter rarus. RNAcentral's name for it is "contains 16S-23S intergenic spacer region". The stretch from base 1 to 127 matches the Rfam family "Bacterial small subunit ribosomal RNA", at positions 1407 to 1533 of the family's 1533-position model. Lineage: Bacteria; Pseudomonadati; Pseudomonadota; Gammaproteobacteria; Pasteurellales; Pasteurellaceae. The record is from RNAcentral.